RNAcentral lists this microRNA (21 nucleotides) under Petromyzon marinus (sea lamprey). RNAcentral's name for it is "pma-miR-125-3p". Its record names the gene pma-miR-125-3p. The record is from miRBase by way of RNAcentral. Lineage: Eukaryota; Metazoa; Chordata; Hyperoartia; Petromyzontiformes; Petromyzontidae.
ACUGGUUAGGCUCUUGGGAAC